UAGCAUUCCAGUAGACCCUUUCUAGCUCACUCACAUAGCUUUUAAGGGGGGACAGUGAAUGCCACAGCAAUCUGGAUUGGCCUGCUGGCUUUCAUCCUUCUACUAUUGGCUGAUUGCUUUGCAGCAUCCAGACAAUU
Molecule: non-coding RNA, 137 nt
Organism: Pelobates cultripes (western spadefoot toad)
Lineage: Eukaryota; Metazoa; Chordata; Amphibia; Anura; Pelobatidae
Source: the annotation of a GenBank genome assembly